RNAcentral lists this long non-coding RNA (13171 nucleotides) under Oryza sativa (Asian cultivated rice). RNAcentral describes it as "long non-coding RNA (OSAT_LNC000146)". The stretch from base 4595 to 4778 matches the Rfam family "MIR812 microRNA precursor family". Lineage: Eukaryota; Viridiplantae; Streptophyta; Magnoliopsida; Poales; Poaceae. The record is from RNAcentral.
CGAUCUCCAUCCGGCGAGCAAGGGGAUCCUGGUGAGCAUCCGCAUCCUCUUUCUGAUGAUUCAUCUCUCUCUCUCUCACCGGGGAUGCUUCUGUCUUGGAAUUUGCUUGCGUAAACCCUAGCUUCUCUUGUAGAUCUGGAAGAAGCUCUUCUCUUAGUUCCAGAGCCUUUAACCUUAAUACAAGUAACAGUUUGAGUUUGUUUGUUGUUCCCCCAAAAGUUUGGGGGGUUCAACUGAACCCCCAUGUCCCAAGUUGGAUCCGCCCCCUGUUAUUUCACUCAUUUCACUAAUUUGUUUACAUACAGUGGAAUAAUGUAGCAUUUAUUUUUGUUAUGCACCGUUGUAGAUCUGAUGAGAAUUCCUAAUGCUUAAAAUUGCCUGAAUAGAUAUAACGAUUAAUUCUUGUUUUCAAGGAAGUUUCACCAUCUAUGGUGAUAAUGUCAUUCUGUUAUUACAGAGGUCAAUGUGUUGUAGAUAAUAAGUGACAUAGGUUGUAUCAUUUAUUUCUUCUAUGCUCAAGGUCCUGAACUGUUGUGCAUGUUUCAUUUGUUGCCCCCCGAGUCAUAUUAUUUGGCGCGGGAUACUUCAGUACUUUGGAUCAAAUAAUCGUGAUGGGAAGGAGUACAUAGCCAAAUGCUCUUUUCCCAUUGUAAUGCACGGGCAACUAACUAGGGUAUGGACAUUAUCUCAUGUUUGUGGUCAUGAUCAAAUCGCUCAUAAAACAUGUGCAUCUUAGAUUAUAGGCAGAAAUGUAUUCCAAUAAUGUUAUUUGGAGUGAAAUUCAUCCCUCAACAGAAAAAAAUUCUGCUAAAUACUCUAUUAACCUUUUCUGUGUGAUACUCAUGGGUAUGUAUGCAUUGAUUGCUAAACAUUUUCACAUGUGCAUUUGACAGCUCAGGUGGCAGCAAACAGGAAGCUUUCUCCAUUAGAAGGAAUCAAACCGAUCGAGAAGGAUCAAACCAAGAAGAGAAAGGAUCCUACAUAGUAUCUUGAUACUGGUUACCUUGGCUAAGAGGACCGAUCGUACUAUUGGAGAGGAGGGGCUAAGUCGUCUCCACAACAGUGAACUGUCUCCGAGCCAAAACAGAACGAACGCCCAAACAGGCAAACCACGAACUCGAACCCUAGAAACCCUGACCAUGGACUCGGGAGGCGGAGGAGGGGCAUCGCACAAGGCAGCGUCGGGCUCUGCACCCUCGGGGGCGGCGGCCGCGAACCCCACGGCGAUGCUCUCCGCCCUGAUGAGCAAGCGCGCCAAGCUCCAGGAGGAGCUCCGCUCCAUAGAGCGCCAGGUUAGGUCUUACACACUGUUCCCUGUCUCUUUUGCGCCUCUCUCUCUCUCUCUCUUGGAAUUAGGGUUUUGUAUAGGAGACCAUGGAUUUGUUGCAUAUAUGUUCAGAUGGCAAGGGCUUGCCAUUGCUCAACAUGCGAAUGAGUGGUGCGAAUUUACAUUGCUGCGGAUGGUUGUAAAAUUGGAGUUGUGGAUACCUGUAGUAGCCUGAAUUUAUUGUUCAAUCUUUCUUAAUGCCUUGGGAAUGAUAGAAAUAUGAACCUAUUUGGAACCAAUAUGCUGGACCAGUGACCACUGAUUGUCAUUUCACAGAGAGGAUCAGUUGUGACGAACAAUUUGGAUAGAAUUAGGAGGAAGGGAAGAAAGUAUCAAUUUGAUAUUCUUGUCGAAUAUGACCAUUCUAUUUCUUGUAUGUUGUUCUUUGUGCCUGAGAACACUUUGUUAUUCUAAGGUAAAAAAGAAAAUCAGUUAGCUACAACCUGAAAAUUCCAUCUGUUCUUCUAUCCUCGAGUUAAAAUGUGGAGUUUCUACUGUGUCUUAGUCAGAAAUUAUUCGCAGCAAGUAUCAAAUGAGCUACUUCUAUUCAUAGUAUUUCAAAGUUACACUAUGUGGUCCAAAUUCCAAUAUAUGUUUGUGAUGGUGAAUCUUGGUGUGUCAUCCAAAAUCAUUAAAUAAGAGGAGCGUUUGGUUUAGUAGAAACCAUAAUCCUAAAAAGGGAGGAAAGUGCUAUUGCUCUCAUAUCAAGUAUUUUAAUGGCACUGAUAUGUGUGUUUUUUUUAGAAAGAACAAAACAGUCGCUCUUUAAUACCAGGAACAACACAUGAUCUAUAAUGUCAACCAUCUUUGCUUGACUUUAAGGGGAAGUUUUGUAUAUGAUAUUAAACACUCAUAAUUUAACAAAAUAUCUAUUCAUGCUUUUAACAGAAUUGUUCUUAUACAACCUGCAAAUGAUGUUUAUGUCCAUAUGUUGCAGGUUUAUGAAAUGGAGACAACCUACCUACAAGAGUCUAAUCAAUUCGGAAGUGUGCUAAAGGGUUUUGAAUCAUUCUUAUCAUCGUCAAAGAACACUUCCAAGUAAGAAAUCUUUAUUUUCUUAGACUGCUACGCCCUUUACUAUUUGGAGGUCUUCAUUCAUUUUCUUUUGACAUCCCACUGUAUACUUACCAGUUCGAAACCUUCAGAAUUCAUGCCACAUUCUUUGCUUACUUUCAACUGUUGAUUGAAUGACCUACUGUCCUUCCCUUGAACUUUCUACCAGCCUCUGAUCACAUAUAAUUUAGCUAAUAUUCGGAUGAAUAAUUUAUAGUUAUAGAUAUUGAACAAAAGAUCCUCUGAUCACAUAUAAUUUACUAAUGAUCAGAUGAAUGAUGUUGAACAAAAGAUCCUCUGAUCACAUAUAAUUUACUAAUGAUCAGAUGAACAAAAGAUCCUCUGAUCACUAUAGUGGCAGUGGCAGGUAUUAUACAACAGAUUCAUAACCCAAAAUAUGCUAUGAUAGUGUUAUGUCAGUUUAUUGGCCAAUUGCAGGGGUGCUCUAUAUGCACUAUCUAGCAUCACCAAGGGAGGGUUGGAUUUAUGAUUACCAUUGGCAUAAUGUUGCGUGUUCAUUAUUCUGCACAAGCAAAUGUUUUAUCAUUUCUGUUCUGCUAAUAGAUCACACAGAAUUAGUUAUGACAGUUUCUAUCUUAUUAUUUUCAGUCUCAAGCGCUCCAGGAAGUUCCAGGCUGAUGAGAGGCUGUUCUCCCUGUCAUCGGUUACAUCUCCAGCGGUAUGACUAAUGAUCCUAAAUCCUAAUGCACUGAAAAGCCCGUGCCCCUUUUUUAAUCUUUUGGUUUGCUUUGAUUGAUGAUUGUUAUUCCCCCUGUGCUAUACUGAUAUUUGUGAGUUUGCUAAUACAUACCAUUAUUUUCUAUUCAUUCCAGGUCGAUGAACAUAUGGCUGGACGAGAUGGUAAGUUCUCUUUCUUGUUUUCAUUAAGCUGAAACCAGGAACAAUUGAGACUCUGGGCUCAAUACUAGCUGCAUCCUGGCAGAUGGAAGAGAAUAUGGAUCAGGUCGUUCGAAAGGUGCAACCACUCCUGCAAACGGGCAGUAAGUGCUCAGAUUACCUUUGUGGCAAAAAAUGUGCUAUCCUUAUCAGCUUUACAUACAUCCUUGCAAGGGGCAGUGUUUGUCUAACACUUCUUUAUAUUAAAAAAAACAGUGUUUCUAGGAACAACCCUUUUAGCCCUUGUUUAGUUCCAAACUUUUUCUUCAAACUUCCAACUUUUCCAUCACAUCAAAACUUUCCUACACGCACAAACUUCCAACUUUUCCGUCACAUUGUUCCAAUUUCAACCAAACUUCCAAUUUUAGCGUGAACUAAACACACCCUUAGUAGAAUUGCCUAGUUCUGACCCCUCGUGUGUUUGGACAGAGGAAAACCAAAGAAGGGAGGUCGCCCUGGAGGGAGAGACGGCAAGAGAAUACGGCCAUCAAAUGAUCCAGAUCUGGACGACGAAGAGGACUUCUAACUCGACAUGUUGUAGGCCUAGCUCAGUGAUGAUUUAACCUUGCUAGACUCAUGCUUCGAAUCAUUCUUUCUGUAUUGUAAUUUUUUUUUAAUCUUGUGUUGCAAUCCAUGGCAAGCAAAGCCUUUUCCCCAGGGAGUAGCCUUGCUCAUCUAGUCAUCUUAUCGUCGGCAUUUGCCUGUGCUUGCAUUUUCUUCCUUUUCAACCCACCCCGGCGUUGUCUGAUUGUCUCCCGUUUUGUAAAGCAGUAGCAAGUUAAUUAGACGGUGAUAAUUUCUGUUAACUCUACUGUAAACAACGUUGCUAUAGAUUCCAGACUCCAGUGAGACGAGGAUGAGACUCCAGCGAGACGAGAAUCUGGAUUGGCCGAUUCUUAGUACCAGAAAAAAAUGUCUCAUCCGAUUAUAGGUUUUUAUAUUUUGGAACGUGUAGUUGCUAGCACACCGCCGCGUUUGCCAGGGCCAAGGUGGAGUUGAAUCUGUGAGUUCACCUGUUGCAUUGCAAGACAAGCUGGAACUUGUAAUCUCAACAAUUAGAUUGCAGGGUGCCUGAGGUUAAUUUGUGUACACUUUUUUUUAGUGUAGCUAGCAAAGACUACAAGUAAUGCUUUUUAUAUUAGUAUAGGUGAUUAAUUAGCUCUAAGUACAAUAUGAUGAUGCAACACGCAGGCAUGCAUGUCUAAACAGCUGUGCUUAGCUUCAAGUAUGGAAAUAGCUUGAGCAUCACUUCUUCAACAGGUUGCAUUGACAAAUACUCCCUCCGUCCCAAAAUAAGUGCAGUUUUGCACUAUUUAUCUUCAAUGUUUGAUUAUGUUUGAUUUUUCGUCUUAUUUAAAAAAAAUUAUGAUUACUAUUUUUAUUGUUAUUAGAUGAUAAAACAUGAAUAGUACUUUAUGUGUGACUACUUUUAAAAAAUAAUUCAUAAAUUUUUCAAAUAAAACGGACGGUCAAACAUUGGACACUUUAGGAUGGACGUAGUAUUUUUCAUUUUCAGAAUCUUAAAUGCAUUUGUCCAUGAAAACAUCUUUCGUGGAAAAGAUGUCAGAAGCUUUUAUCUAAGAAUCUCGCUGAAUCAUCAUGUUUAAGUCGAUCACAUCAGCUGCAUAUAUCUGUCAACAGAAGAACAGAACAGGUUGAAAAAAAAAAAGCUGAAGUUGAUACUACCUCCGUUUCUAAAUAUUUGACACCGUUAACGUUUUAGCAUAUGUUUGACCGUUCGUCUUAUUCAAAAACUUUUAUGAAAUAUUUAAAACUAUAUAUAUACAUAUAAGUAUAUUUAACAAUGAAUGAAAAAAACUAAUAAUUACUUAAAUUUUUUGAAUAAGACGAACGGUCAAACAUAUUUAAAAAAGUCAACAGCGUCAAAUAUUUAGAAUCGGAGAGAGUAUUUUUUACUAGAAACAUCAAGAACACUAGUAGCACUUAUUCAGAAUGAGCACUGUUGAAAAUGUGGUGCUCUUAUUGAGAAUUUCACAAGAGCAACACGAACAGAGACUCUAUCAUACAUCAACCUAGGAGACGCCCAGGUUGGCAGCUAAUAUCAAACAAGAUGUUUAAAGCUUUGCUGCAGGACUCCGAUGUACAAAGUACUGAAAACCAUGGAUCAUCUAGGUACAGGGAAAAGAAGAUAGAAGAAAGCACAUCAGUACCAUAAAAGUUACCACACACAGCAGAAGCAUCGAUCUAUCUACACUCAGCCAAACCACCUGAAAGAACAGGGGGGGCAAGCAGCAUGCCUUGCAUCAAGCUUAUCUGAACGGUCUACGGCACAACCUGGCAUAGGUGCCUCUGGAGGAAGAAUUCAGUCAGCAACUGUAACUAAUCCUUGGUUUAUUUUUCUAGUUCAGCAUGUUGAGUCGCGAAAGAAUUCGGUCGGUAUUGAGGGUGGGCAGGGCUUCUUCGCCACAAAUUUGUACUGCAGAAACAAAGGUACAGGAGGCAGCAUUAGGAACAGUACAGAUAACUGAAGAAAUGGGGAGGAUAUGCAGUUUAUACCUUAUGUUGGGUAUACUUCUCCCUGAUUGCAGGAAGGUUACUCCCAGGACCAACACAGAAAAGGCGGUGCAAUGCCUUAACGCAGUCGCUUAACUCUGACGACUUGUAUUGUGUGUAGUGAGCAAGGGUGGAAUUCUGCUUCCAAUUUACAAUGAGAAGCAUAUGUUAGCUCUUGUAAUUUUUUUAUUUGAAUGUUGAUAUAAAAGAUGUAUGGAAAGUUCAAUAUGAUGAUGCCACCACGUACCCAAGGGUGCUUUGCUGGCUGCAGUAUGAAUUUGGCCAGGAAAAUAGCUGAUGCCGCUACUAGUGAAGGAGGGUAAGAAAGUAGAUUGUACUCCAGCAGUGAUAGCUCAGCAACAUAAUUGGCUAGGAACUCAAGAUGCAAUGCUGGAUCCUGCACGAUGAAAAGCUGUUAAUGCAAUGCAGCAUAUAAAUAGUAUGAAAUUGCAGCAAGCAGGAGAUGAUUAAGAGAGCAGCACCUCAUCAGAUACUUGUGCAACACGGACAAAUCUCCUGUUGUAGGCAAGAAGAUAGUUAUUAGAGUUCGAUUCAUUCCAGCAUUAUAGACAUCGAUGAGAUGAAAGAGAAUAGAACCUCAAAAAGCAUUUUGCUGUAGGUGCAGUCAUUUCAAACUUCAGGUAAUUCAGGACAGAAGCUUCCAUUUCCAAAACCUGACAAUCUAUGUGUUAGUCAUGGAGAUAAACAUAGAAAUGUUCACAGAUAUGCAAAACAAACCUCAUCUCUGAAGUAUGUGUUGUCAGUUAUAUAGCAGAAUUCUUCUACUUGAGGUGCACAUAUCUCCUUGUAUUUUCUGAUAUAGGAACAAGCCAAAAUCAGUACACAAAACUCAGAUGCAAACUGAGAAACACAUUUAAAAAAAUUGCUAAUCAGAUCUUACGCAGCAAUAAGCAUACAAGCAACUCCAAGUAAUUGCAGUCUUUGACGAUUGAUCUCAUUGCCAGAAAGAUAACGGUCAAUGUAGUUAACUGUCAGGUAUAAUGUAUCAGGAACAAGACGAUAUUCUUCAGCGACCUGCACAAAGGAAAAGCACAAAUAGAGUGGUAAGUAACGAUUGUGGUCUUUAGGCUCCAAUCAACUAAAAAAAUUUGUUCGGUAUAAAAGCUUACUUCCACAAGCCAGUCUAUCAGGAUCGCUCUCAUGCUUGGGUUUACAUCCUUUUGGAGUGUUUCCAUAAAAUCGGUUGAUGGAUGUUUCCUGGUCUGCUUCAAGUCAAAUAGAAAAUCACAAUGUAAAUAUGAAAUUCAACCUAGAUUUGAAACCACUGUGCUCAGGUCAGAUUAAUUGUCAUUUGAUCAAACUGACUGCAGUAGUGCAGUCCAUGUCACAGCAAAAAUAAUGAGCAAUUGAAAAAUACUUCAAGAGCAUUGAUUACAACAAUUGAAAUGUAUCAAUUCAUCGGUUCAGUCAAUGCUUUAAGAAGAUAACUCCAUUACAAUUUCUCCAUAUUAUACUGUGCUUCUACUGGUUCUAUAGGGAAUUUCAAUAUGAUGGCCAUUAAAUGGAACCCACUAUUCAGAAAAAAAAAAGUAUUCAAGAAUGUUUUAUGUAAGGUGUUUACAUAAUAUGCAGAACAAAACUACUGAAAAUUGAUGGUCACAAAGCAUGUCUGGUAGAUGAUAAGGUGCACCAACAAAGCGAAAAGCAGAAAAGAACGGAUUGUGGUGAAAUGUGAAAAAUAUCCUGAUAAAUUACAUUGGAAUAAUGCCUUAUAUCAGUGAUGUGCACUUAUUCUCUUCUUAAUUUAUGGUCUCAUCAAAGUAAACUUUUUUUACUUGUGUUUCAUAUGGAUGCAAUCAAGUCUCAAAUCAUGAGGAAGCAAAACAAAGCCUUCCUAUGAAAACAUACUACAAUAAGGUGCUCAAGGGAAAUGUUUUCAGAGAAAUAAGGUUUAGUCAAGAAUGUAUUACCUCGGCCUCGCGCAAGUGCAUGUAGAUAUCAGAAGCAAGAGUAGCACACAACUGCGGAUCCUCGUAGUUAUUGUCAACAUCACAAAUUUGGUCGAUUUCCAUUGGGGAAGGAGCAUCCUUCUUCCACUUAGUUUCUGCGAAACAAACAAGGGAAAAGAUCAAUCAACCAUUCCAAUAGAAUGCACCAUAUAGCACAAAUUUUUCUAGCUAUAACUGUGCAUUUCAGCAACCAAAACACACCUUCAACAUCUCUAUCCUCUGAGAUACGCAGGUUCUCGUUUGCUCUUCGCUGCAAGGAACCUAGAACUGAGGAGGAAUCCCCAUUAUCAAUAUACUCAAAGUCUGGGCUUUUCAUUGAGUCGCACGUCGACAUCGUCUCAUCAACCGAAACUGAGGCCCUGUUUAGAUGGGACUAAAACUUUUAAGUCCCUAUCACAUCGGAUGUUUGAAAAUUAAUUAUAAAUAUUAAACGUAGACUAUUAAUAAAACCCAUCCAUAAUCUUGGACUAAUUUGCGAGACGAAUCUAAUGAGCCUAAUUAAUCCAUGAUUAGCCUAUGUGAUGCUACAGUAAACAUUCUCUAAUUAUAGAUUAAUUAGGCUUAAAAAAUUUGUCUCGUGAAUUAGCUUUUAUUUAUGUAAUUAGUUUUGUAAGUAGUCUAUAUUUAAUACUCUAAAUUAGUGUCUAAAGACAGGGACUUAAGUUAAGUCCCUGGAAGUAAACACCACCUGAAUCUCCUGAAUGCAUAGGGGAGACGAAGCUGCUGCAGGGUACAGUGACAGGUGCAGGUGCAGCAGUUGGAACAAUUCUAAGCACUUUAGGAGGAAGAACUGACUCCUUCUGUGGGGCGCUCUCAUGGCGGGAUAUGGCCGAAGCUGGCUUGGUGGAAGCUGAUUUCACCGCCGAGACCCGAUUCGUGCCCACAUUGCGGCCACUGGCCAAAGAUCCCUUCUUCACAGGUGCAGCCCAGGUAGCUGAAUUAAAUUUCUGCAGGAGGAUUGAAGACAAGAAAUCAAUUUAGAACUUAUAUUUCAAUCUGUUCAUUUGGGAUUCCAGACCACAAGCAUGAAAAGGAACAAAUAUUUAUUAGAAACAUUAGCAGCACGCAAGUAUCAUAUUACCAAUAGAAGAUUCCAAAGCAAGCAAACAUACAAAACACUUAGCGAAUACCAAGAAAGCUUUUAUUUUGAACUUCUGAAGGUGCCAAUAAACCCUCAAGUGAAUUUAGCCUGUUGACCUGGAUGCUCCCCAAGAAAUCAAUCAAUCAAUUAACCAUGAAAAGAAACCAGAAAAUCAGCAAGAAAAAUCUUGUGGAUUGGAAUAGGAGAAUCCUCAAAAUCAGCAAGGAAGAAUGUGGCAGAGGUCCAAAUUUGAAUGUGAAGAGCACUGAAAAACCAAAAGGCAAGAAUAUAUUGGGGAUUGGAAGAGGAGAAUCGUUUGUAGGCUAACCAAGGAGAAAUUGAAGAAAUGAAAAUCUUGUUGUUGGCUGAAAGAAAGAACUCAAGAAGACGAAUUCAAGAAACACUAUUUAUAUUUGCUUGAAACCAACAGAUCGAGGCGUAUGUCCUCCACAAACAAGAUGGAAAAAAACCAAAAAAGAAAAAAAUCAUACACAGAUCGCUUCGGCCAUUUCCGCAUCAACAGCGACUCACUUGUGCCCCAAGAGGAACCAAGAAGCAAAAAAAAAAAAAAAAAAAGCCACCCCCAAACCAUUCCAACCACCUCACACACCAAAAGAUCUCCACCCAAACCGCGCAAAGCAAAGAACAAAUCUUGGAGAGAAAAAAAAAGGAAAAAAGAAGAAGAAGAAGCAGCAGCAAGCGAUCCUUCACGUACCGCAUUGUUGGCGGCGGCGGCAACGUUGGUGAUGUUACCGAGCGCGACGCGCUUCUUGGCCGCCGCGGCGCCCGCGGCCGCCUUCCCUCCUCCCUCCCCCGCCGCGGGCCGCUUCGCCGCCGACGACGACGACGAGCGGCGGGAGGCUAGGCUGCUCGACAUCGGCCGACGGCAACCACCACCUGAACCCUCCUCCUCCUGCUGCUGCUGCGAGGGUUGCGAGGGCGGCGGCGGCCGGCGGGGAUCAGAGGCGGAGCAGGGCGAGGGCUUGGAUCCUUCCCUUCCCGACAGAGGAGGGGAGAGCCGGAGAGGAGAGGACUCAGAGGAGCGGAGGAGGAGAAGAGAGAAAAUGGCGACGACUCUUUCGAUUAUUUCCAGUUUUUGGGGAAACUAUUCUAAUCCCUCGAGGAUGUUCCCUCGUUUGCUCAAAAACCAUCUAAACGGUUAUGAAAAAUACUGAAAAAAUUUGACAACAUUCAUACAACACAUAUAUACAACUCUACAAAAUCUUAAUUCCAAACUCAACUCACACGUCGAGAUAUAAAAAGACAAAUUCAGCGUAUGAAUAGUAGCGUACUGUUUAUAUCUAAAUUUGUCUUCUUUUGUUUCUCGAUGUGUAGAUCGAAUUUGAACAUGAAUUUUGGUGGACUAGUAGGUAUCAUUAUACUCUACAUUGUUAAUUUUUUUCAGAAUUUUUCAUAACUAUUUGUAUCGAAUUUGGAAGAAAAAGGUAUACGAGGGGAUAUCCCUCGAGGGAUUAGAAUCCACUCCCCAGUUUUUGGGCCGUUACAGUUGUUCAAAUUUCAAAUAGUAGUAGCAACUUGUUUUAGUUAUUCGACCGUUUUAUCUGUCUUUCUUUUUUUCAUGUCGUCGUGGUUGGGUUAUUACGUUUUCGACCGUUAUUCAUAAACAGAACGGAUGUAGAGCUAAAUUAAUUUCGUGUUACUACUUCUGUCAUAGAAGAUGACGGAUUUUAACUUUGUAUUCCCUCCGUACUAAAAUAUAAAAAAUAUAAGUAUUUUUUAAGUAUAGUGUCAAGUCCUUUGAUUAUUAAUAAGAAAAAAUAAAUUAAAAAAGAUCAAUCUAAAAAAAAUGAUAUUACUAGAUUUAGCAUUAAACAAACUAUCACAGUAUGUAACUCUUUUUAUUUAAAAUAUUUUACUUUUAUGAAUAUCGUUUAUCAAUGUAGCAUCUUUAAAACCGUGUCGAAGUCAAAAACAAAAAAAAAAGGCUUAUAUUUUGAUAUGGAGGAAGUAUUCUUUAUCGUAUUUUCCUACUUAUCUAUCUCAUUUUUCACAUGUGUGCUUUUCAAACGGUUAAACGGUGCGUUUUUUUUUAAAACGUAUGUAUGUAUGAAAGUUAUUUGAAUAAUCAUGUUAACUCAUUUUUAAGAAAUAACUAAUACUUAAUUAAUUAUGCAUUAAUGAACCGUUUCGUUUUACGUGCUCAAAGGGUUAGUUUCUAACACUAAUAAUCGAACACGGCCUUUGCCGCUUAGAGGAAUUUUAAUAGUAUAUAGCCAACUACUAGCUCCAAAUUAUUUAUAGAUAAUCUAAUAGCCAAAUUAUACAAUAGUUAACUACAAAUAUAUAGUACAUCAUUAAUUACUGCUCCCACUUGUCAUACACACGUAGCAUUUAGGAGUCCGUGCUACAGCUAGCUACAAAUCUGCAGCCUGCUUCUUUUCUAUCUCCUCUCUUUAUGUUCACCACAUAAGCUUGUAGCCGACUUAUAGUCUAUUAUUGUACAUGCUAUUAGAUUUUUAUAUUUGAACUUGGAAUGUAGUAUCCAAAAUAACUUUGGGGGUGUUUAGAUCCAGGAGUGUAAAGUUUUUGCGUUUCACAUCGGGUAUUAUAUAGGGUGUCGCAUGGGGUGUUCGGGCACUAAUAAAAAAACUAAUUGUAGUAUCCGUCAGUAAACCGCGAGACUAAUUUAUUAAACCUAAUUAAUCCGUCAUUAACAGAUGUUUAUUAUAGCACCACAUUGUCAAAAUCAUGGAGCAAUUAGGCUUAAAAGAUUCGUCUCGCAAAUUAGUCGCAAUCUGUGUAAUUAGUUAUUUUUUUAGCUUAUAUUUAAUACUUCAAACGUUCGAUGUGAUAGGGUGUAACAUUUUUGUGCAGGAAACAUGACCUUUGUUUUUAAGACCAGAUGGAGCACUUUGAUAGGCCGUUUGGGAGUUUGGAACUUGUGCAAAACGGUGUGUUUUAAAAAUUAAAACCAUUGCUCUCGUACAUACCAGAUAUUUAUAACUAACGGUCGAGAAGUUCAAAAUGUGUCCAAAGGUUGAGAAGUUUAAAAUGUAUCCAAAUCAACAUAUUUUCAAUAUUUGAGGGAGUAACGUGAUAUAAGACCAUAUAUUUAUAACUAAUGGCCGAUAAGUUUAAAAUGUGUCUAACGGUCGAAAAGUUUAAAACAGGUCCGAAGUCCGAACCUCGUGUUUCAGGAUAUCUACAACGAAUGCUUGGGUCGGGACGUAAGGUUAAACCUCUCUUAGUUGUGCCAAAGGAAAUUAUGGAAAUUUUUAACACGGCUAUAAUAGCACAAUAUUGACAAUGAAAAAUACCCAUAUAAACACAAUUUUGCCUAAUUGUGUUACCUACUAUAGAAAACUUGCGACUGUAGUUUCACACGAAUAACGUUCUCUUGCAGGUGGGUGGGCCACCGGUCCAUGCAACAGUAGCCGUGCCGGCCCGACACGGCCCAACACUUCCUUGGGCCGUUCUGCCCAAGACCUGGCACGGCACGGCCCGGCCCAUUACAGUUGCCGUGCCAUCAGCGGGUCCGAGCUAUGCUGGGCCGGGCCGCCCAUUUGGCCUGCUACUCAUAAUGGGUAACAUAGUAAAUCUGAGCUAAAGGUGGAGUACUCGAGUAUCUCUUCCCCCUUCCCUUCGCGUAAAAGAGAAAAAAAAUCUCCCGUCUCGUCGUCUCAUCCGCUUCUUGCGCCAUUCGCGGCUGAACAGGGGAGGGGAGGGGGAGGGUCGCCGAUCUCCAUCCGGCGAGCAAGGGGAUCCUGGUGAGCAUCCGCAUCCUCUUUCUGAUGAUUCAUCUCUCUCUCUCUCUCUCUCACCGGGGAUGCUUCUGUCUUGGAAUUUGCUUGCCUAAACCCUAGCUUCUCUUGUAGAUCUGGAGGAAGCUCUUCUCUUAGUUCCAGAGCCUUUAACCUUAAUAAAAGUAACAGUUUGAGUUUGUUUGUUGUUCCCCCAAAAGUUUGGGGGGGUUCAACUGAACCCCCAUGUCCCAAGUUGGAUCUGCCCCCUGUUAUUUCACUCAUUUCACUAAUUUGUUUACAUACAGUGGAAUAAUGUAGCAUUUAUUUUUGUUAUGCACCGUUGUAGAUCUGAUGAGAAUUCGUAAUGCUUAAAAUUGCCUGAAUAGAUAUAACGAUUAAUUCUUGUUUUCAAGGAAGUUUCACCAUCUAUGGUGAUAAUGUCAUUCUGUUAUUACAGAGGUCAAUGUGUUGUAGAUAAUAAGUGACAUAGGUUGUAUCAUUUAUUUCUUCUAUGCUCAAGGUCCUGAACUGUUGUGCAUGUUUCAUUUGUUGCCCCCCGAGUCAUAUUAUUUGGCGCGGGAUACUUCAGUACUUUGGAUCAAAUAAUCGUGAUGGGAAGGAGUAC